This is a long non-coding RNA of Astatotilapia calliptera (eastern happy), 1043 nucleotides long. NCBI's taxonomy places the organism in Eukaryota, Metazoa, Chordata, Actinopteri, Cichliformes, Cichlidae. The record is from Ensembl.
GGGAAAUCUUUUUGUAGCCUAAGCCUGCUUUAAAUUUCUCAACAACUUUAUCCCUGACCUGUCUGCUGUGUUCUUUGGACUUCAUGGUGUUGUUGCUCCCAAUAUUCUCUUAGACAACCUCUGAGGCCGUCACAGAGCAGCUGUAUUUGUACUGACAUUAGAUUACACACAGGUGCACUCUAUUUAGUCAUUAGCACUCAUCAAGCAAUGUCUAUGGGCAACUGACUGCACUCAGACCAAAGGGGGCUGAAUAAUUACGCACACCCCACUUUGCAGUUAUUUAUUUGUAAAAAAUGUUUGGAAUCACGUAUGAUUUUCGUUCCACUUCUCACGUGUGCACCACUUUGUGUUGGUCUUUCACGUGGAAUUCCAAUAAAAUUGAUUCAUGUUUGUGGCUGUAAUGUGACAAAAUGUGAGAAAGUUCACUGUAUAUAAUUCAUCAUGAGAUAAACUGAACUUGGACCUGAAGCAUUUUAACAUGGCUGAUAUGACAUAAAUAUAUAGAAAUGGUCCAAGAUAGCUUAAAGACAAAAUGGAAGAAUAUUAUUUUCAUAAGAGUGUGGACACCAUCAAUUUACAAAAAAAGAAAAAAAAAACAACCAGGGAGAAAGCAAAGUAACUAGAAACCGUCCCCAACUCUGUAAAGCUUUGACCUGUAAGGAGCACCAUCCUCCCGUCCUAGAAACCAGGAAGUCAGUUUCAUCAUGAAUGUCAACCCAAACUAACCAGCAACAAACACACACACACACACACACACACACACACACACACACACACACACACACACACACACACAAUGAUUAUCAGGCCUGGUCAUUUCUGGUAGCCUCCCUCUGCUCUUCAGUUAUCUGUGGUUAGCAAUCAUCUGGAUUGUAUUUAUGCACUGUAAUCCUCCAGGAGAGCAAGAGAAAGUUGGAACGGGGGUGGGGAGUGGGCUGAUGAGUUGAAGAGAUAGGGAGGCAUGAAGAUUGAGUGGUGAGCAGAGAGACAGUGAGUAUGACGAAUGAGGCAAGACGCUCUUUCUUUGUAAUUUUUAUCUGAGC